This 215-nucleotide ribosomal RNA is filed under the name Staphylococcus pseudintermedius. RNAcentral's name for it is "partial 23S ribosomal RNA". It matches the Rfam family "Bacterial large subunit ribosomal RNA", at positions 238 to 448 of the family's 2925-position model. The record is from RNAcentral. Lineage: Bacteria; Bacillati; Bacillota; Bacilli; Caryophanales; Staphylococcaceae.
CCUGAGUAGCGGCGAGCGAAACGGGAAGAGCCCAAACCAAUAAGCUUGCUUAUUGGGGUUGUAGGACACUCUGCACGGAGUUACAAAAGAAUUUGUUAGACGAAUAACCUGGAAAGGUUAAUCAUAGAAGGUAAUAAUCCUGUAGUCGAAAACGAAUUCUCUCUUGAGUGGAUCCUGAGUACGACGGAGCACGUGAAAUUCCGUCGGAAUCUGGG